AAAGCAGGGGAGUCUGCGCUCUUGUCCCAUCAAUAAGCAACAGAUAGAACAUUGAGAUAGAAUUAGAAUGGACACAGACUUUACAGACACUAUGAUGUGGGGGUGGGACAGGGGAGAAAGCAUUUCUCAGGUUUGCCACUUAUCUUCCUUUUGGAGAUGUGAGAGAGUACUGGAAGAGGAAAGGGAACAGCAGAAAGAGCCUGUCUGAGAAUGAAGUCAAAGCAAAAAGCUGCCAAAAAGUGGAGGAAAAAUGAUAGAGCUCAGAAAACCCCAGGGAAGGACUUGGAUUUAGCUGUGGCCAUUCCUUAAACAUCUCAGAACUUUCAGUAAUGAGAUCUGAAGCGGCAAUCACAGAGAUCACAGAAAUUUAAAAUAUCAGAGGAUUAAAGAAAAAAGGAACAGGAAAAAAGCCAGAUGUCAAAGCAUAAUCAUUUUGUAGAAAUGGGAUCUAGCUGGGACGUUCUCCAAGGAAAGGUCAGUUCUCACGUAUUCUGCGGUUAAAUAUCAUG
This is a long non-coding RNA of Neofelis nebulosa (Clouded leopard), 509 nucleotides long. RefSeq lists it as uncharacterized. Lineage: Eukaryota; Metazoa; Chordata; Mammalia; Carnivora; Felidae. The transcript is spliced from 3 exons. The record is from RefSeq and is a predicted model, not a curated record.